RNAcentral lists this ribosomal RNA (492 nucleotides) under uncultured bacterium. RNAcentral's name for it is "partial 16S ribosomal RNA". It matches the Rfam family "Bacterial small subunit ribosomal RNA", at positions 29 to 507 of the family's 1533-position model. The record is from RNAcentral.
AGUGAACGCUGGCGGUAGGCCUAACACAUGCAAGUCGAACGGCAGCACAGUAAGAGCUUGCUCUUACUGGUGGCGAGUGGCGGACGGGUGAGGAAUACAUCGGAAUCUACUUUUUCGUGGGGGAUAACGUAGGGAAACUUACGCUAAUACCGCAUACUACCUACGGGUGAAAGCAGGGGAUCUUCGGACCUUUCGCGAUUGAAUGAGCCGAUGUCGGAUUAGCUAGUUGGCGGGGUAAAGGCCCACCAAGCCGACGAUCCGUAGCUGGUCUGAGAGGAUGAUCAGCCACACUGGAACUGAGACACGGUCCAGACUCCUACGGGAGGCAGCAGUGGGGAAUAUUGGACAAUGGGCGCAAGCCUGAUCCAGCCAUACCGCGUGGGUGAAGAAGGCCUUCGGGUUGUAAAGCCCUUUUGUUGGGAAAGAAAAGCAGCAGGUUAAUACCCCGCUGUUCUGACGGUACCCAAAGAAUAAGCACCGGCUAACUUCGUG